This 265-nucleotide ribosomal RNA is filed under the name uncultured bacterium. RNAcentral describes it as "partial 16S ribosomal RNA". It matches the Rfam family "Bacterial small subunit ribosomal RNA", at positions 524 to 785 of the family's 1533-position model. The record is from RNAcentral.
UACGAGGGGUGCAAGCGUUGCUCGGAAUUAUUGGGUCGUAAAGGGCAGGUAGGUGGUCUCAUUUGUCAGGGGUGAAAGCCUUGGGCUUAACCCAAGAAGUGCCUUUGAAACGGUGAGACUGGAGCCUUGGAGAGGGUCGUGGAAUUCCCAGUGUAGCGGUGAAAUGCGUAGAGAUUGGGAGGAACACCAGAGGCGAAGGCGGACGACCUGGACAAGUACUGACACUCAACUGCGAAAGCGUGGGUAAGCAAACAGGAUUAGAACC